CAGCAACGCUGAGGGAACAGCACAAUAGCUAGGAGAGAUUCAUGCCAACCCACCCUUAACCCAUUAAGCCCCUUUUUCUUUCCUGGGAAAAAGCAUGCCCCGUGCCCACCCUUAGCAGAGCGCUGAGGUUGGUGAGGCAGCUCCCGCCAAGGCCAAAGGAUGGCACGCCAAGCUUGGGGCACUCAAUCCAUUCCCAACAGCACGGGGACAGGUCCUGUGUUGGCCCCUCAAUGUGCAGGAGUGAGACCUUUUCCACUGGGAGAACUGGGAUGGUGAGGCUUUGAUUUGGGUUUGCUGCUCUUGGUCUCAUACUGGGAAUUGCUGCUGAGCCCAUGCGCUCCAUGGCAGCCAUGUGUCCUUACCGCCUCUGUUGGCUGGGCUUGGGCAAACACCUGCACUGAUAUUUCUGUCAAGAUGGAAACCCGAAUACGGAAUGAUGAUCAGUUAAAAAAAGGGUUUACUCCUCCGUCCUGUUUUGAUUUUAAUUACAAAAGGUUAGCAUUUUUUGUACAAUCUAAACAGAAAUGAGACAGGAAAAGGUCAAAACACAAGGGGCCUGGAACAUCUCUAAUCCCAUAAUGGAGAGCAAUACGAGGCUCUAAUAUUUGAACAAUCAACGUAGACUUUUGUUAUGAAGACCAACACGCGAUGGAAGAAGGAUUCUCCAAUCAAGGGCGAUGGCUGCUGCUCCUCGUGGCCUCCCUGUGCUGCUUUUUGCUGGGCACACGGAGCUGCUCCGACCAGAGGAGAGCAGAGGAGGGAAGGAAGAGCUUUGCCAUGCACCGGCAGCAGCAGGCAUGGGUGUGCAGCACUGCAGAAACCUCAUCCCAAGCAGCACUCCGCUGGCAUCGUUAGGAGCAGGGCACUGCCAUCAGCACUGCUGCCUCCAGCUGCUGAGCUCUGCUCCUCAGGAAAACCAGGUGGAGGAAAGAAAUUGCAGCCCCAAAGGGGAGGAGGAUGUUCAGCAGCUCUCCCUGCAGCUCUCUGUGCAUGCUCUCCGUGCAGGUUGUCCAUGCAGGCUCUGCAUGCAUGCUCUCUGUGCAGGCUCUCUGUGCAUGCUGUCCAUGCAGUCUGCCCAUGCAGCACACUCUCCUGCCUCCCCUCCAGGCCACUGUGGUUCACAG
This 1124-nucleotide long non-coding RNA is filed under the name Gallus gallus (chicken). RNAcentral describes it as "lncRNA (ENSGALG00010026881.1)". The record is from RNAcentral. Lineage: Eukaryota; Metazoa; Chordata; Aves; Galliformes; Phasianidae.